Molecule: ribosomal RNA, 115 nt
Filed under: uncultured eukaryote
Lineage: Eukaryota
Description: partial small subunit ribosomal RNA
Source: RNAcentral
UUUGUUGCACCAGAAGUAGGUAGUCUAACCGYAAGGAGGACGCUUACCACGGUGUGGCCGAUGACUGGGGUGAAGUCGUAACAAGGUAGCCGUAGGUGAACCUGCAGAAGGAUCA